UACGUAGGUGACCAGCGUUGUCCGGAUUUACUGGGCGUAAAGAGCGCGCAGGCGGUCGUUCAAGUCGCGUGUGAAAGCCCCCGGCUCAACUGGGGAGGGUCAUUCGAUACUGAUCGACUCGAAGGCAGGAGAGGGAAGUGGAAUUCCCGGUGUAGUGGUGAAAUGCGUAGAUAUCGGGAGGAACACCAGUGGCGAAGGCGACUUCCUGGCCUGUUCUUGACGCUGAGGCGCGAAAGCUAGGGGAGCAAACGGG
RNAcentral lists this ribosomal RNA (253 nucleotides) under uncultured bacterium. RNAcentral's name for it is "partial 16S ribosomal RNA". It matches the Rfam family "Bacterial small subunit ribosomal RNA", at positions 524 to 776 of the family's 1533-position model. The record is from RNAcentral.